GAUGAACGCUGGCGGCGUGCCUAAUACAUGCAAGUCGAGCGAACAGACGAGGAACUUGCUCCUCUGACGUUAGCGGCGGACGGGUGAGUAACACGUGGAUAACCGACCUAUAAGACUGGGAUAACUUCGGGAAACCGUAGCUAAUACCGCAUAAUAUAUUGAACAGCAUGGUUCAAUAGUGAAAGACGGAUUUGCAGUCAAUUAUAGCUGGAUCCGCUCCGCAUUAGCGAGUUGGUAAGGUAACGGCUUAGCAAGGCAACGAUGCAGAGCCGACCUGGGAGGGUGGGUGGCCAACCUGGAACUGAGACACGGUCCAGACUCCUACGGGAGGCAGCAGUAGGGAAGCUUCCGCAAAGGGCGAAAGCCUGACGUAGCAACGCCGCGUGAGUGAUGAAGGUCUUCGGAUCGGAAAACUCUGUUAUUAGGGAAGAACAAAUGUGUAAGUAACUAUGCACGUCUUGACGGUACCUAAUCAGAAAGCCACGGCUAACUCCGUG
Molecule: ribosomal RNA, 497 nt
Filed under: uncultured bacterium
Lineage: Bacteria
Description: partial 16S ribosomal RNA
Rfam family: Bacterial small subunit ribosomal RNA
Source: RNAcentral